UACGUAGGUGGCGAGCGUUAUCCGGAAUUAUUGGGCGUAAAGCGCGCGCAGGCGGUUUCUUAAGUCUGAUGUGAAAGCCCACGGCUCAACCGUGGAGGGUCAUUGGAAACUGGGAAACUUGAGUGCAGAAGAGAAGAGUGGAAUUCCACGUGUAGCGGUGAAAUGCGUAGAGAUGUGGAGGAACACCAGUGGCGAAGGCGACUCUUUGGUCUGUAACUGACGCUGAGGCGCGAAAGCGUGGGGAGCAAACAGG
This 253-nucleotide ribosomal RNA is filed under the name uncultured bacterium. Its description in RNAcentral is "partial 16S ribosomal RNA". It matches the Rfam family "Bacterial small subunit ribosomal RNA", at positions 524 to 776 of the family's 1533-position model. The record is from RNAcentral.